RNAcentral lists this ribosomal RNA (469 nucleotides) under uncultured bacterium. RNAcentral's name for it is "bacterial SSU rRNA". It matches the Rfam family "Bacterial small subunit ribosomal RNA", at positions 335 to 799 of the family's 1533-position model. The record is from RNAcentral.
ACUCCUACGGGAGGCAGCAGUGAGGAAUAUUGGUCAAUGGAGGGAACUCUGAACCAGCCAUCCCGCGUGUAGGAAGACGGCCUUAUGGGUUGUAAACUACUUUUAUACAGGAAGAAACGUACCCUCGUGAGGGUGCCUGACGGUACUGUAGGAAUAAGCACCGGCUAACUCCGUGCCAGCAGCCGCGGUAAUACGGAGGGUGCGAGCGUUAUCCGGAUUUAUUGGGUUUAAAGGGUCCGUAGGCGGAUUAAUAAGUCAGUGGUGAAAUCCCAUCGCUUAACGAUGGAACUGCCAUUGAUACUGUUAGUCUUGAAUGAGGGUGCAGUGGUUGGAAUGUGUAGUGUAGCGGUGAAAUGCAUAGAUAUUACACAGAACACCGAUUGCGAAGGCAGAUCACUAACCCUAAAUUGACGCUGAGGGGACGAAAGCGUGGGGAGCGAACAGGAUUAGAUACCCUGGUAGCACAGAG